This 253-nucleotide long non-coding RNA is filed under the name Nicotiana benthamiana. RNAcentral describes it as "long non-coding RNA (NBEN_LNC041109)". The record is from RNAcentral. Lineage: Eukaryota; Viridiplantae; Streptophyta; Magnoliopsida; Solanales; Solanaceae.
UCUUUUCAUUUCAGGUUACUUGUCCUAGACAGACCCAACCCCUGUGUUGAGUUCCCUAAGUCAAAUGCACAUGAUGCAAAUAAGAGUUUCUACUAGGGAUCCUACAUGAGGCUGAGUUAUUCUAGGUUUAAAACCUGGGUGUUUGUUCUAGACCUGGCUUACCCGAAGGGACAGCCAGAGCCGAGGGGGAGGUGGAAAUCCGGGAAUACAGAAGCUUCGCGAGCUUUGCGACUUAUCCAAACCUCGUUCUAAA